This 253-nucleotide ribosomal RNA is filed under the name uncultured bacterium. Its description in RNAcentral is "partial 16S ribosomal RNA". It matches the Rfam family "Bacterial small subunit ribosomal RNA", at positions 524 to 776 of the family's 1533-position model. The record is from RNAcentral.
GACAGAGGAUGCAAGCGUUAUCCGGAAUGAUUGGGCGUAAAGCGUCUGUAGGUGGCUUUUUAAGUCUGCCGUCAAAUCCCAGGGCUUAACCCUGGACAGGCGGUGGAAACUACCAAGCUGGAGUACGGUAGGGGCAGAGGGAAUUUCCGGUGGAGCGGUGAAAUGCGUAGAUAUUGGGAAGAACACCAGCGGCGAAAGCGCGUGACUGGGCCUGAGCUGACACUCAUGGACGAAAGCUAGGGGAGCGAAAGGG